GAUGAACGCUAGCGGCAGGCCUAACACAUGCAAGUCGAGGGAGGAGCUUUCGGGCUUCGACCGGCGUACGGGUGCGUAACGCGUAUACAAUCUGCCUUUCACAUAGGGAUAGCCCGAAGAAAUUUGGAUUAGUACCUAAUGGUAUAUAGAGGUGGCAUCACCUUUAUAUUAAAGCUGAGGCGGUGAAAGAUGAGUAUGCGUUCUAUUAGCUAGUUGGAGAGGUAACGGCUCCCCAAGGCGACGAUAGAUAGGGGUUCUGGGAGGGAUAUCCCCCACACUGGUACUGAGAUACGGACCAGACUCCUACGGGAGGCAGCAGUGAGGAAUAUUGGACAAUGGUCGGAAGACUGAUCCAGCCAUGCCGCGUGCAGGAAGACGGCCUUAUGGGUUGUAAACUGCUUUUGCAGGGGAAGAAUAAGGACUACGCGUAGUUUGAUGACGGUACUCUGCGAAUAAGCAUCGGCUAACUCCGUG
This 474-nucleotide ribosomal RNA is filed under the name uncultured bacterium. Its description in RNAcentral is "partial 16S ribosomal RNA". It matches the Rfam family "Bacterial small subunit ribosomal RNA", at positions 28 to 507 of the family's 1533-position model. The record is from RNAcentral.